Alexandromys fortis (reed vole) is the source of this 2465-nucleotide long non-coding RNA. RefSeq lists it as uncharacterized. The transcript has 3 exons. Lineage: Eukaryota; Metazoa; Chordata; Mammalia; Rodentia; Cricetidae. The record is from RefSeq and is a predicted model, not a curated record.
GUCCCUCGGCUUCCCGAAUGCUGGGGGACCCUGUCAUGACAGAAUUAAUAAAAUCCUCAUGCUUUUGCAUCGGCUGUAAUGUAUGAGAUGGUCUCUGGGGGCGACUCCUUCUCAGUGUUUGGACGCUAGAGUCCAACAUUUGGUUCCCUGACCGGGAAUCAAGUCGCUCCCAGACACACUCUAGACCCAGUUGGAGGUAUAAAGAAACAAGCUCAUUUUUAUGUCUGUCUGUUUGUAUAUUGUGUUUCUGUUUCUGUGUAAUUGUGAAUUAAUAAUCUGAAAAUUGUACCUGCGCAGGGCUAAUAUUUGAAGGGGACCAGGCAGUGGGACAGACGUGUCCGGGAAAACUCCCUGGCCCAGCCGUGGAGGACGCUUCAAUGGCAAUUUGUGAAACUAGGAGCGACUAGGUCAUCUUGGUUUCUAGGGAGUGUGGCCCUUAUCACCCACUCCCUUCCAGGAGCAAAAGAAACCCAGAAUCCAGGCACCUCUGGUUCUUCCUGAUAUCCAGCCCAGCAUGACAGACUUCUCCCUCCUCCUCCCCUGGAGGAAGCACUUCGUUCCUGAGGAGCCCCGCUGGUCGGGCCCUAACCCCGAAAACUUCGGUACUCAGCAUCCACACUGGGACAGGGGAAGGAUGAGAAUGACUUCCCAAACAUUUCCCCUUCACUCAGUAGCAGGCCAAUUGCAAUACUGCCUUUUUCUGCUUCUAAUCUUUACUUACAACCCUUCCUUUUCUCGGGACCCUCAGGCCGUGACCGGGCUUAUAGAAUCUGUUCUGGUUAUUGAUCAGCCCACUUGGGAUGAUUGCCAGCAGCUCUUACAGGUGCUCCUAACUACAGAGAAAAAAAGAAUGUCCCAAGAGCUGACAGCAGGCCAACCCAAUCACCGGACAAGAAAGAGGAUGGGACUUCAAUACUCCAGCUGGUAGGGAGCAGCUCCGUCUUUAUUGCCAGAGUCCAGUUGGCGGGUCUAAAAAAAAGGAGGGGGGUUGCAAAGCACCCCACUAAUUUGCUAAUUUGGCUAAGGUAAGAGCAAAGGUCUGAUAGUACUCCUACAGGAUUUUUAAAAAGACUAUUAGAACGGUACAGGAUGUAAACCCAUUUUGAUCCCAUGGCAGCAGAUCGCCAAGCCAAUGUAAUGAUGUCUUUUAUAGGCCAGUCAGCAUCAGACAGCAAGUUGCAGAAAAUGGAGGAACGGCAGAGAUGCUCCCUCCAGGACUUAAUAAAAAAAAAAAUUAGACAGAUAGGGAGGCAACAGAAGACAACAGCUACAGAGAUUGCGCGCCUCAGACAGAGCAGCCCUUGAAUGGCCAAAUGCAGUGAGGAGUGGCCCUACAGGACUUUGGGCUCGAGACACUUCCUAAAGCAGCUGCUGAGCAGAAGCUGGUCGGAGAAAGGCGCCAAGCACAGUAGGCUACUGAAGCGGCACUCUGCCCACCGGAGAGGCCAACGCAGCAGCCACAGUGACAGUACUGAAAUUCCCCCCCCCCCUUGCUUAUGCUGUGCACCCAGGUAUCCGAUUCUGGGGUGUACGGGAAAAAAGGGGAGGAGUUCCCCUCGCUAUGUCUAAAGCAUUUGACUAUGGACACAAGAACUGCUGAUUAUUCCUAGUGUCCCGCGCUUUUAUUAGAAAAAGACCUGUUGGAGACGUUGACUUCCCCUACUGUUCUCCAGGACUACUCUGCCUUCGCCAUGCCCUACCUUGCUGAGGAAGGCUUUGCAGCCACUGCUGGCUGAAUCCUCCCAGCUGCCUUGGUCACAGCCCAAGCCUGGGAACUCUGCUUACAGCCACCUGCCCCCACAGGCAGCAAGUGACUGAAGCGAGGAGGGGCCCGGGAGGUUCCGGAGCCCCAUUCCAAACAGCCUUCCCGAGCUGCUUGCAAGUUUCACAGAGAACAACUGCCCCCAGCUCCCAGACCGCAACUAUGGAAAGCUUGGGGUUCAGCAAUGCCAAGGAGAGCCGGUUUUGACGGUGCAUGCUGGUAAGAAGACAGGGCAGCAAUGGUGAAUGAGCUGAGCAGCCUACUUAAAGGGACAUCAGCUGGAUGGCAGAGAAGCUUUUUCUUACCAGGACUAAGAAGAUCACAGAAGAAAUCUUCUCGAGGUUUGGCCUGUUCAAGGCACGGUUGAAGGCUCUCCAGAUCUCCGAGCCCAGGCAUAGAGACCCCUGGCCACCCUGACACCUGGAAAUCUCGCAUUCUUUCCAGAAUUGACGCCUGGGGUAUAUCCGGAGGGACAUGAGAAAAGCUACAGCACCCCACAGCCAGAACAGCAGCUGCCCGCUCAUACCUGCAAUCCAUGCUUUGAUACCCCUGCCCUCACCCCUGAUUUCUGUCAACUAGUAGCAGGGCUAGCCUCCUGGGAUAUCUGAGAUACAUAUCCCCCACAGCUGCCCCUGGAGGCUGGCAAAAGAUUUUCCCCUGGAGGAAAUAUUUGGACACGGGGGUUCAGACAUCUCCCCCACUU